Long non-coding RNA from Entelurus aequoreus (snake pipefish), 431 nucleotides. RefSeq lists it as uncharacterized. The transcript has 5 exons. The record is from RefSeq and is a predicted model, not a curated record. NCBI's taxonomy places the organism in Eukaryota, Metazoa, Chordata, Actinopteri, Syngnathiformes, Syngnathidae.
UGCACGCGGUAGGUGAGGCCCGAGCAAAGAAAAGUGGAAAAGAGUGUUAUUCGUCAAAAAAACCACACAACGACGGUCAUUUUUUCGCCGUGCUAUUGUAAAAUUGUCUUUUAUCUGUGUUUUGUGUUCCGGGGGACCCCGACUCCAGAAUGUGAAAGUUUCCCGCGUGAAGCCGCUCCACCGUCUCGCCGAGUGCCAGCAAGAGUCAUGAGUACUUGUCAACUCGACUCCUCAACUGGAGAUAACUUUCUAGCACCUCACCAUGGGGAAGGAUGUAUUCAUAUGCCUUCACCAGCACAUGCAUUAAACAUGCAGAGAGUUACACAAGUUCUUACCACCUUGGGGCACCAUUCAGGGUGCCUUUUCAUCUGAUUAAAUUUAUAAUGAACAGGGACAUUGCGGUUGUCCCAAGUGGAUGGUAUGAUGAUAGG